UACGUAGGGUGCGAGCGUUAAUCGGAAUUACUGGGCGUAAAGCGUGCGCAGGCGGUUCGUUGUGUCGGCGGUGAAAGCCCCGGGCUCAACCUGGGAAUGGCCGUUGAAACUGGCGAACUGGAGUGUGGCAGAGGGGGGUGGAAUUCCGCGUGUAGCAGUGAAAUGCGUAGAGAUGCGGAGGAACACCGAUGGCGAAGGCAGCCCCCUGGGCUGACACUGACGCUCAGGCACGAAAGCGUGGGGAGCAAACCGG
This 253-nucleotide ribosomal RNA is filed under the name uncultured bacterium. RNAcentral's name for it is "partial 16S ribosomal RNA". It matches the Rfam family "Bacterial small subunit ribosomal RNA", at positions 524 to 776 of the family's 1533-position model. The record is from RNAcentral.